AGGGAAAGGUGAAAAGAACCCCGGGAGGGGAGUGAAAUAGAACCUGAAACCCUGUACUUACAAGCUGUGGGAGCACAUUACUUGUGUGACCGCGUACUUUUUGUAGAACGGGCCAACGAGUUACGUUAAGUAGCAAGGUUAAGCACUUAAGGUGUGGAGCCGUAGCGAAAGCGAGUCUUAAAUGGGCGAUUUAGUUACUUGGCGUAGACCCGAAACCGGGCGACCUAUCCAUGAGCAGGUUGAAGCGAAAGUAAAAUUUCGUGGAGGACCGAACCCACGAGCGUUGAAAAGCUCGGGGAUGACUUGUGGAUAGCGGUGAAAUUCCAAUCGAGCCCGGAGAUAGCUGGUUCUCCCCGAAAUAGCUUUAGGGCUAGCCUCAAGGUUGAGAGAAGCGGAGGUAGAGCACUGAAUGUCCUAGGGGGUAUUGCACUUACCGAAGACUAUCAAACUCCGAAUGCCGUUUUCUUUUACUUGGGAGUCAGACUGUGGGUGAUAAGAUUCAUAGUCAAAAGGGCAACAGCCCAGAUCGUCAGCUAAGGUCCCUAAAUGUACGUUAAGUGGUAAAGGAUGUGGGAUUGCACAGACAACCAGGAUGUUGGCUUAGAAGCAGCCACUCAUUUAAAGAGUGCGUAAUAGCUCACUGGUCGAGUGAUCCUGCGCCGAAAAUUUCCGGGGCUAAAACGUACUACCGAAGCUACGGCAUCAUUUAUGAUGGGUAGGGGAGCUUCGUAUGCAGGCUGAAGCAUGACCGUAAGGACAUGUGGACAGUAUACGAGUGAGAAUGUUGGCAUGAGUAGCGAGACGUGGGUGAGAAUCCCACGGGCCGUAAACCCAAGGUUUCCAGGGGAAGGUUCGUCCGCCCUGGGUUAGUCGGGACCUAAGCCGAGGCCGAAAGGCGUAGGUGAUGGACAACAGGUUGAUAUUCCUGUACCGCCAAUAAGCGUUUGAGAGAUGGAGUGACACAGUAGGAUAAGCUAACCGUACUGUUGGUUAUGUACGGCUAAGCAUUGAGGCAGUCUAAAUAGGCAAAUCCGUUUAGACAAUGCUAGGAUGUGAUGGGGAAGCCCUUCGGGGCGAAGUAGCUGAUUUCACACUGUCAAGAAAAGCUUCUAUCGAGUUUAAAGGCGCCCGUACCGUAAACCGACACAGGUGGGUGAGGAGAGUAUCCUAAGGCCAGCGAGAGAACUAUUGUUAAGGAACUCGGCAAAAUGACCCCGUAACUUAGGGAGAAGGGGUGCCUGUCUAUGACAGGCCGCAGAGAAUAGGCCCAAGCGACUGUUUACCAAAAACACAGGUUUCUGCUAAGUCGCAAGACGAUGUAUAGGAGCUGACGCCUGCCCGGUGCUGGAAGGUUAAGGGGAUCUGUUAGAGCAAUCGAAGCAGUGAACUUAAGCCCCAGUAAACGGCGGCCGUAACUAUAACGGUCCUAAGGUAGCGAAAUUCCUUGUCGGGUAAGUUCCGACCCGCACGAAAGGCGUAACGAUUUGGGCACUGUCUCAACAACAGACUCGGUGAAAUUGUAGUCCCGGUGAAGAUGCCGGGUACCUGCGACAGGACGGAAAGACCCCAUGGAGCUUUACUGUAGCUUGACGUUGGGUCUUGGUACUACAUGUACAGGAUAGGUGGGAGACUAUGAAGCAUGGACGCCAGUCUGUGUGGAGUCAUCCUUGGGAUACCACCCUUGUAGUACUGGGAUCCUAACCAUAGGCCUUGAAUCAGGUCUUGGAACACCGUCAGGUGGGCAGUUUGACUGGGGCGGUCGCCUCCCAAAAAGUAACGGAGGCGCUCAAAGGUUCCCUCAGUACGGUCGGAAAUCGUACGUAGAGUGUAAAGGCAAAAGAGAGCUUGAUUGCAAGACAUACAGGUCGAGCAAGGACGAAAGUCGGACUUAGUGAUCCGGUGGUACCGCAUGGAAGGGCCAUCGCUCAACGGAUAAAAGCUACCCUGGGGAUAACAGGCU
This 1960-nucleotide ribosomal RNA is filed under the name bioreactor metagenome. RNAcentral describes it as "bacterial LSU rRNA". It matches the Rfam family "Bacterial large subunit ribosomal RNA", at positions 506 to 2483 of the family's 2925-position model. The record is from RNAcentral.